GCCUCGGUAGCUAAGUGGUCUAAGGCGCCUGACUUGUAAUCAGGAGAUCCCGAGUUCAAAUCUCGGCCGGGGCUCCA
RNAcentral lists this transfer RNA (77 nucleotides) under Candidatus Thorarchaeota archaeon. Its description in RNAcentral is "tRNA-Thr". It matches the Rfam family "tRNA". Rfam says of the family: Transfer RNA (tRNA) molecules are approximately 80 nucleotides in length. The record is from RNAcentral. Lineage: Archaea; Promethearchaeati; Candidatus Thorarchaeota.